CGCGUAGGUGGCCAAUUAAGUCAAAUGUGAAAUCCCCCGAGCUUAACUUGGGAAUUGCAUUCGAUGCUGGUUGGCUAGAGUAUGGGAGAGGAUGGUAGAAUUCCAGGUGUAGCGGUGAAAUGCGUAGAGAUCUGGAGGAAUACCGAUGGCGAAGGCAGCCAUCUGGCCUAAUACUGACACUGAGGUGCGAAAGCGAUAGGGAGCAAACA
RNAcentral lists this ribosomal RNA (209 nucleotides) under uncultured bacterium. RNAcentral's name for it is "partial 16S ribosomal RNA". It matches the Rfam family "Bacterial small subunit ribosomal RNA", at positions 568 to 774 of the family's 1533-position model. The record is from RNAcentral.